GGACUUGUAGCUUAAUGGAUAGAGCAUCUGACUACGGAUCAGAAGGUUGGGGGUUCGACUCCCUCCAAGUUCACAA
Molecule: transfer RNA, 76 nt
Filed under: Bacteroidia bacterium
Lineage: Bacteria; Pseudomonadati; Bacteroidota; Bacteroidia
Description: tRNA-Arg
Rfam family: tRNA
About the family: Transfer RNA (tRNA) molecules are approximately 80 nucleotides in length.
Source: RNAcentral